This 394-nucleotide unclassified non-coding RNA is filed under the name Hevea brasiliensis (rubber tree). Lineage: Eukaryota; Viridiplantae; Streptophyta; Magnoliopsida; Malpighiales; Euphorbiaceae. The record is from RNAcentral.
AAGAAAUAUUAAACCCAAAAACACGAACAUUAUUCGUAACUUCCCAAUGGACCGUCAACUUCCUUUUCUCUUUCUGCUUUUUCUCUGUUUACUUUCUAUUUUCCCUGAUCUCUCUGGUUCUACACCUCUUCGAGUCUCCGGUGGGCAUGGCGAUAGAAAAACAAAAUUGUCGGUGCUGAAAUUGGUGACUGGUAGAUCGUCUGCUACAAUUGAUCCGACUCGGGUGACGCAAAUCUCCUGGCGGCCGAGGGCUUUCAUUUAUAGGAAUUUUUUGACCGAUGAGGAAUGUGAUCAUCUCAUUACUCUGGCUAAAGAUAAGCUGGAGAAGUCUAUGGUGGCUGAUAAUGAGUCAGGAAAGAGCGUAGAGAGUGAAGUUCGGACAAGCUCUGGCAUG